This is a long non-coding RNA of Carlito syrichta (Philippine tarsier), 379 nucleotides long. RefSeq lists it as uncharacterized. The transcript is spliced from 2 exons. The record is from RefSeq and is a predicted model, not a curated record. NCBI's taxonomy places the organism in Eukaryota, Metazoa, Chordata, Mammalia, Primates, Tarsiidae.
CCAGACCUGAUCACUAGUCUGGAGGAAAGGAAAGAACCCUGGAAUGUGAAGAGACACAGCACAUUAGCCAAACCACCAGGGACUGUUGACAAAGAUGUGGCCAUAGAAUUCUCUCCAGAGGAGUGGUAAUACCUAGACCCCACUCAUCAGAUAUUGCCCUGGAAUGUGAUGUUAGAGAAGCACAGAAACUUUGUUUUCCUAGAUGAGAACUGUCUUAACACAAAAUUCCUACUUUAUACUAAGGAUUUCAUAUCCUUUUUUGUAGAAUGUUUUCUGGUAAAUUCUACCUCGUGCAAAUGAGUUUCAGAUUCCUGCUAUCAAAUAAAACUUGAUGAUUUGUUAACAUAGAAAAGAAAAAAUUAAAGAUGUUUCAUUUUGA